Molecule: long non-coding RNA, 544 nt
Filed under: Calidris pugnax (ruff)
Lineage: Eukaryota; Metazoa; Chordata; Aves; Charadriiformes; Scolopacidae
Description: lncRNA (ENSCPUG00000011772.1)
Source: RNAcentral
GACCUCUGCAUGGAGCACCUCUUCCGUCUGCCUAGAGAUAGCGUUGAGAAACUCACAGCUUCACAAAACUCCCCGUUGCAGUGAUGGACACGUUCAAUAAUAUCCGGGAUGAAGAAGCUGGGAGGAGGCGCUGCUAAUAAUUGCGAAGGAUGUCAAGAAGGAAGAACUAAUGUGUUUAAACAUAUGGGCUGGGAUUCCUCUCACCUCACCAAUCAUGUAAAAAUUAGCACCCUGUUCUCCAAUUAGUCUCUGUACUGGGAGCGUGUGGAAGAAGGUAGCUGCGUCAUGGAGGUGACCAUCUGGGAGCCACAAGGCAUGGUCCAAGGGAGCACCAGUAGAUCUUGUGAGUGACCCAGACCCAAAGCCCAGCUCUGCCACACUUUGAGGGGGCUUUUGCAGGGUGAGAAGAGCUCUCCAAACCCCUGUGACAGGCAACCCACGGGCCCUAUAACCCAUCAUGGUCUCCAUAACCUCCAUAGUCCCCAGACCAGGAAGGUGCACAUGUCCAUGGCCACCUUUGCCACUGGUUCUGCAGCUGAAUUUU